CACACCUUCACCUCCAUUUGACCUACCCAAGUCACCUCUUCCCACAGCAGCAACUUCCUCCUCCCUCCAGGCAGCUUCCAACCCCGGGAGCAGCCACGUUUGUGUCUCUCGGCUCUGCACACGCUGUCUGGCACCUAAACAUGCCCUGACUCUAAAACUAGACUCUUCCCAAACGCAGCCCCUCCAUGUCAAAGUGAGUGACAUUCUUCCCUUCCGGUUUGUCCCAGACACAGCCUGACUGUGUCCCAUUCCUACUCCCUGCCAGCUCUUACCUCUGUCCUCUGCUCACUCAUCCCCAGCGCCAGUCUCCUCCCCCUGUCGUCCUCAUCUGCCCUGAAGUGAUCUUGGCAGACACUUGCUAGGAAGUGUGAGCCGCUGAGCUCCUUGCAUCCACUCAGAACACACACUAAUAAAGUUAACUUUCCCAUUUUCAGAAGAGGAGACUGAGGUACAGACAAUUAAGUGACUCAUCCAAACAGGGUUGUUUUCUUCUACUCCCAAGAUCCCAACCUCAAGAAAGCAAGAGAAGUGUGCUUGAGAGGAGAUUGAGAAACAGCAGGACCAGGCCAAUGGUGCAGCCUGCAAACCCACUGCUGAGGCAAGGGAACCUUGAGUUUCUGACCAGCCUACAGAGUGAGACCCGGUCUAGCAAAGGAAACAGAAGCAGCAAGGAGGCUCAGAGGCGGGCACUUGCAGCCCAGCCUGAUGACUUGAUUCCAAUUCCCAGAAUCCGCAUGGCGUGAGGAGAGAUGAACUCCCACAGACUGUCCUCUGACCUCCACCUGUGCGCCAUGACACUCAGGCCACAGGAAGUCCACUGAGCUCACUUCCUCCCCGAAUUGACUUCUAAAGGAAGUUGUUCAGCCAUGCAGGUUCCUCUCCAUGCUCAGCCCUCCCGCCAGUCCAGGAAAUGACUGCGUGGAUGGAUGGGAGCUGGACUCUGGACAGGACACAGGACCUCAAGUCAGGUGAUGCCAGCUGCAUGCAGAGACCUCCAUUUGAUGCUCAGUCUGACCCUGCAAGGUUCUUCCACGUUAUAGGUGAGGAGACUAAGGCACAGAGAGGUUAAGCUACCUCCCGGAGGACACACAGAGAGCUACAGUGCAGAGACUGCUACGCCAGUUUUCCUCUUACCAAAAUGUCUAGAAUCUUCUUGCCACAGACAUCAACAGAAUGGCGGGUUGGAUUUAUGGCACCUGGGCUUCCCCCUACCACGUCUUCUGUCUCCUUCCUGCUUUGCUUCCAGAGUCCUUACUUGUCACCUCCCUCUCAGCUGCUCUAUCUGGGUGAAUGACACCCCUUCGCAGGUGCACAUAGGUUUAAAUCCCUGCACAUUUUCCAUGCAGUGAAUGAUCUCAGACUGCUGUAAGGGGCUCUCCUCACAGCCAGACUGUGGCCAUCUUAAUGAACUCAGGUGUGCCCACUCCUGAGCCCGAUGGAGCUGUGAACUUGGUAUUUCUUCCCAGAAUGAGGGGCAGGGAAGGUCACUGGACCCUCAUCUGAGUAUCCAGCCAUUAAGGUGUGGUUUUCUCUUACCUACUCAUGGCAGGUGUCUUAGUCAGGGUUUUACUGCUGUGAGCAGACACCAUGACCAAGGCAACUCUUGUAAGGACAACAUUUAAUUGGGGCUGGCUCACAGGUUCAGAGGUUCAGUCCAUUACCAUCAAGGCAGGAGCAUGGCAGCAUCCAGAACAGGAAGAGCUGAAAAAUCUACAUCCUCAUCUGGAGGCUGCUAGGAGAAACCUGACUUCCAGGCAGCUAGGGUGAGGGUCUUAAGUCCACACCCACAGUGACGUGCCCAUUCCAACAGGGCCACACCUUCUAAUAGUGCCACUCCCUGGGCUGAGCAUAUACAAACCAUCCCAGCGGGGAACUUCAGAAUGAACUAAAAGAUAUGACUGGGAAAGAAUAAGGGAAGAAGAUUCCAUUAUGUAUGUGACUGGAGGAUGCCAUCAUCCAUACAGGGCAAAGACUUUCCCAUUUGGCUGAUUUGGGGUCCCCCUGCUCUCGUAGGAAGCCCUUCAUCCAUACUCUCUAAGCCCAAUAAACUUACUAGCUGCC
Long non-coding RNA from Rattus norvegicus (Norway rat), 2061 nucleotides. RefSeq lists it as uncharacterized. The record is from RefSeq and is a predicted model, not a curated record. Lineage: Eukaryota; Metazoa; Chordata; Mammalia; Rodentia; Muridae.